This 445-nucleotide ribosomal RNA is filed under the name Eriocheir japonica (Japanese mitten crab). RNAcentral describes it as "partial 12S small subunit ribosomal RNA". The record is from RNAcentral. Lineage: Eukaryota; Metazoa; Arthropoda; Malacostraca; Decapoda; Varunidae.
AAAGGUAAAAUUAGGAUAUUAUUAUGUAUGAAGUAAUUAUAAUUGAGGCUAAAAAAGUUUAGAAAUAAACUAGGAUUAGAUACCCUAUUAUUCUAAAAUAAAUUUAAUAUAAAACUGAAUUAGUAAAAGAUAAAUACUUAAAAUUUAAAAAAUUUGGCGGCAAUUUAAUCUAUUCAGAGGAACCUGUUUUAGAAUCGAUAAACCACGAAAAAUCUUACUUGAGUUUGUAUACCAUCAUUAUCAGAUAAUUCUUAAAGGAAAAAUUAUUAAAUUUAGUUGUUUAGUAAAAUUAGAUCAUGGUGCAGCCAAUAAGCAAGGUAAAAUGGGUUACAGUAAAUUACUUUACUGCGGAUUAAUAAUUAUAAAGAUGGAUUUGAUUGUAUUUUAGUUUAAUAAGCUAAUAAGAUAUAAGUUCUAAAUUGUGUACAUAUCGCCCGUCGCUUUC